This 520-nucleotide ribosomal RNA is filed under the name uncultured Glomus. RNAcentral's name for it is "SSU rRNA". It matches the Rfam family "Eukaryotic small subunit ribosomal RNA", at positions 569 to 1091 of the family's 1831-position model. Lineage: Eukaryota; Fungi; Glomeromycota; Glomeromycetes; Glomerales; Glomeraceae. The record is from RNAcentral.
AGCAGCCGCGGUAAUUCCAGCUCCAAUAGCGUAUAUUAAAGUUGUUGCAGUUAAAAAGCUCGUAGUUGAAUUUCGGGAUCAAAUUGUCGGUCGUGCCUCGGUACGCACUGGCGUUAUUGGUUCCUCCCUUCUGAAGAACCGCGAUGUCAUUAAUUUGGUGUCGCGGGGAAUCAGGACUGUUACUUUGAAAAAAUUAGAGUGUUUAAAGCAAGCUCGCGCUUGAAUACAUUAGCAUGGAAUAAUGAAAUAGGACGUUUGAUUCUAUUUUGUUGGUUUCUAGGAUCGACGUAAUGAUUAAUAGGGAUAGUUGGGGGCAUUAGUAUUCAAUUGUCAGAGGUGAAAUUCUUGGAUUUAUUGAAGACUAACUACUGCGAAAGCAUUUGCCAAGGAUGUUUUCAUUAAUCAAGAACGAAAGUUAGGGGAUCGAAGACAAUCAGAUACCGUCGUAGUCUUAACCAUAAACUAUGCCGACUAGGGAUCGGAUGAUGUUAAUUUUUUAAUGACUCAUUCGGCGCCUUAC